AUACGGAGGACGCGAGCGUUAUCCGGAUUCAUUGGGUUUAAAGGGUGCGCAGGCGGCCGUGCAAGUCAGCGGUGAAAGCCCGGGGCUCAACCCCGGAAGUGCCGUUGAUACUGCAUGGCUGGAAUGCGGUCGAGGCGGGCGGAACGGGGCGUGUAGCGGUGAAAUGCGUAGAUAUGCCACAGAACGACAAGAGCGGAGGCGGCUCGCCAGGCCUGCAUGGACGCUCGGGCACGAAAGCGUGGGGAUCGAACAGGUUUAGAUGCCCUGGUAGUCCACGCCGUAAACGAUGGGCGCUCGUCGUCGGCGGCAGACAGUCGGCGUCCAAGCGAAAGCGAUAAGCGCCCCACCUGGGGAGUACGGUCGCAAGGCUGAAACUCAAAUGAAUUGACGGGG
This 393-nucleotide ribosomal RNA is filed under the name uncultured bacterium. RNAcentral describes it as "partial 16S ribosomal RNA". It matches the Rfam family "Bacterial small subunit ribosomal RNA", at positions 523 to 918 of the family's 1533-position model. The record is from RNAcentral.